RNAcentral lists this long non-coding RNA (2024 nucleotides) under Cricetulus griseus (Chinese hamster). RNAcentral's name for it is "lncRNA (ENSCGRG00015032946.1)". The record is from RNAcentral. Lineage: Eukaryota; Metazoa; Chordata; Mammalia; Rodentia; Cricetidae.
CUGGAGUGGGGCAACUAUCACAGAACCACAAGCCCAGAGUCAGAGGGGUUGCUGAAAGGGUUCUGAUAGCCAGAAAACACAUCAGGAGAAGUCAGACCCUCCGGACAACAGAAGCAAACCUCAAGGCAGUGGUCAGGUCACCAGCUGAGCCUUCCAUCCCAGCCAGCUCACUUGGAAGCGGCUGCAGGGGGAUUGGCAGAGAACCUGGUGGGAUUUGCCUCAGUUGCCUGAAUGCCGGUUGCUGGGCAGAAAGAAACAGAGUGCAGAUUGCCCUCUGCUGCGCCUGCUUACCUUGGCAUGUGUCUUGCACCAGAAGGCUGCCGUUUAUACUGGCUGUCUGUCCUGGACCUGGUUAUUUCUCCGGUGGGAGAGCUGCCCUCCUUUGUGACUUUAUAGAUAUGAAGCAGAAAUCCCAGGAAAGAAAUCCAACCACACAGAGAUCGCCAAGCUACGCCAAAGCCCAAAUUAUCCACACAGAAGCUCCAUGAAGAAGACAGUGAGGCCCAGAGAAUUGGCUAAAGGCACGAAAUAUUCAAGUAAAGAAGGUUUUUGUUUUGCUUUGUUUUGUUUUGAGUGUUCAAACCCCAAAUUACGCUCUAUAACCAGAACCACCCAGCUGCACUCAGCUCAGACUGUAGAAUUAUGGGAAAUGAUAAAAUGGAGGUAAGCCACUUGGUUUUGAGGGUGGCUAAUUCUGUAGCAAUGGCUGAAUGCCUCUGCUGCUGCCCUCUGCUUUAUGCCCUACAUUGCAGACAGCGUGUGGCCCCUGGCUCGUUGGUGCUGCCUCCGCUCCACUCAUCUCCAGUUAUAAUCUCCUUUCUGCCUUUCUUUUUCUGUAGCACAACUUCAUCUCCACUUCUGUCUCAUCUCUUUUUGCUCCCAUAGCUUCCCAUGGCACUCUCAAUGACGUUGUGAACGUUCCUUCAUGCAGCUGUCUCCCAAACUCCAAACCAGGAUGUGCUCUCCCAAGUAGAUACCACAUCUUACUCCACAUCAGGUCUCACUUCACACGGAAGUAUGAGCGAACCCCUUAACUUCCAGCCCAGCUUCUCUGAAUCAGUUAGGCAUUGUGUUCAGUCAUCUACCAGAAUCCCAGCCUCACUGGAUUAAUCAGACACUGGCUUGUUUCUGGUUUCCUGCCCCGUUAGCUUUCAAGUGUGUCUUUCUUCUUUGUGGUUAGCUCAAGACUACAGCAUGGCUUCUUUGUCGCUAGCCUCACACCCACAUCCCAGACCGGAAGAAACAACAAGUGUCAGCAUCCCUUCAUCUCACCAACCAGAGCUAUGCCACAAGGACACCCACAGCUAAGGACAGCAAACACCUUGGAGAAUCUCAACUUUGACCCGGAAGUACUCACUACCUGGAACUGUCUGCCUGAGGGUACCAGGGAGAAAACAUGGGUUGUGACUAGUGUUCUCCUCAUUCUCCACCUAUAAAAAGGGGUUAGAACUUACCUUGAUGACUUGUUGAAUUUCAGAGAGACUAUGGGCAAACAUCAUAGUACCCAAGGCAUAACGGCACUCAGGAAAAGCCGUUAUAUCUUGAAUUUCCAGAAGUGGCCGUUAGCAGGGAGUUUUCCUGAAGGUGCUAAAAAUGUAUAAUAGAGACAUGGUUUGGACUCUUCAGUUCUUUUACAUUGAAUUCACUUCUUGGUUAAUAAAUCUUUUCUUGAUAGUCUAUUCAACCACUAAUAAAUCCAGCUGGAUUGUCAUUAUGACUCUUCACUUACAUGUGACACAUGAAAAAACAAGGCUUGGAAAGACACAAAGGGUGAGUUGGCAGGGUGCUACAGCCCUGUGGCUACAGAGCUGCAUAUUUCUUCUCUGAUUCAUGGAAAAAUACGUAGCACAUAGAAGUCAGCUACAGAUUUAAAAGAUCUCCUACCAGGGAGUUGAAGAAUCAAGUCUCAAGGUCUUAGCUGCUGAGGGCUAAAAAGCUCACUUAGAAGGUGACUAGUGGAAAGACUAAGGGGACCUGCUUUGUAUCUGCAGCUGCUCUCACCACAGCUUCUUUUUAAAGCAAAU